This 449-nucleotide ribosomal RNA is filed under the name uncultured bacterium. RNAcentral describes it as "partial 16S ribosomal RNA". It matches the Rfam family "Bacterial small subunit ribosomal RNA", at positions 29 to 523 of the family's 1533-position model. The record is from RNAcentral.
AAUGAACGCUGGCGGCAGGCCUAACACAUGCAAGUCGAACGAGGCAGCAAUGCCUAGUGGCGGACGGGUGAGUAACGCGUGGGAACGUGCCCCUUGGUACGGAAUAGCCCUGGGAAACUGGGAGUAAUACCGUAUGUGGUCGAGAGACGAAAGAAUUAUCGCCAAGGGAUCGGCCCGCGUUGGAUUAGGUAGUUGGUGGGGUAAUGGCCUACCAAGCCGACGAUCCAUAGCUGGUUUGAGAGGAUGAUCAGCCACACUGGGACUGAGAGACGGCCCAGACUCCUACGGGAGGCAGCAGUGUGGAAUCUUAGACAAUGGGGGAAACCCUGAUCUAGCCAUGCCGCGUGAUCGAUGAAGGCCUUAGGGUUGUAAAGAUCUUUCAGUGGGGAAGAUAAUGACGGUACCCACAGAAGAAGCCCCGGCUAACUCCGUGCCAGCAGCCGCGGUAA